UGUGCGCUCUCCAUCCCUCGCUCUGCCUCUCUCUUUUCUUCUCCUGCCCGAAAGUGAAACCGGUGGCAACAAAGUGAAACCAAAGCUCCUGCUGCCGGCCCAGCCCAGGGAGGGCCGGGGGACAGGGGCGGCUGCCGGGCGGCCCACGUGGCAGGCGCAGGACGGAGGGAGGAGUCGCUCCUUCAACUGCGGUGAUUUUAAAAAAAGAAAGAACUCGGACCAGAAAUGCAGGAGUGUUCUCCCGUCCCCCCCCCACCCCCGCGGUCUGGUCUCCUCUGCUCUCUGUCUCUGGCCGGGCUGGGGGCACAGGGCCAGGACUGGCCUGGUCCUUUUGGGGUCCCGCAGGUGAAGCCGACCCCCGGGGACCAUCUCUGAGGCUUCCCUCGUUAUCCAGCUUCAGGCCCAUUGCCCAGAUGGAAAGCUGAGGCCCUGAGUGGAGACCGGCUGCCUAGGGCGGCCGGGGCAGUGGGCAGCGGGAUGGCUCAAGUCCUGGGUUGUCCUGAGCCAUGGGGCAAGUUUUCCUUCCCUGCAGAGCACAGAGAGGGAGCAGCAAGGGGCAUGCUUGGCAGCAGGCAGGAUUGAAGUUAGACCCAGGCCAGACUUUCUCCCCAUCGGCACUGUGGCCAUCUGGGGCCUGAUCCUUCUCGGGGAGGGGGGGGCCUGUCCUGAGCACAUGGAGUGGGGGGUUCAGCAGCAUCCCCAGCCCCAACCGCUCGAUGCCAGGAGUACCCCCUAGUGUCACAACCACUGAUGUCCCCAGACAUCACUCUUUGUAAGGGGGGGCCCGGGGGGGGGGAGGAAUCAGCCUCUCUCUUGUGACCCACGGCCCUCAGCAAAUUCUUACAACGUGGGGCCAGGCCAGGGAGAGACUGGCAGAGACAGAGCUCUGAGCCAGGCCCCAAAGGCAGGCAGGCUGGCCCCCGGCCUUGCAGCCCUCUGUCCAGGUUCUGAGAGGCCCUGGGGUCCUCGUCCAGCCUGGGAGUGCAGGGGCGUCCAGGAGACCAGGGCGCAGGCGGGGAGAGAGGCCAGAGGGAGGCGUCCUCCGGGAGUGGCGAGCUGCAAGGCCCAUUGCACAGAUAGGAAUACUGAGCGGCGGGGUGCAGUAAGGGACCGCAAGCCGUGCCAGAAAAAAACCCUCUUCCUCCACCUUGUGGGCCAAGUCUAAACAGCCUACAGGGGUGGGGGGGGUGCUGCCCUAGCCCCCAAGGCACCCGGAGGCUGGGCUUCUCCCCAGCCACUGUGGAUCCGGAGGCUGCAGGACUCCUGUGAUACUCGGGGGCUGUCCUACGAGAGGCUUCCGGGCGCUCCGAGUGGCAAUGAUUUGCCAGGCAGGUAUGCUCCUUCAUACCUGCGCACCUGGUUUGGCCACCCUGGGCGUGCUGGUUAAAUGUGAGCUCUGCCCGGGAGCGGGUUCGGGUGGAGCCCGGGGAGCUGGGAGGAGCCCGAGUGGGAGUAGGCUUCACCUGCAGGGGGGCAGCGCGGAGGGGCUCCUGGCGGCCCCCAGCCUUCCUCGUGCCCGCACACAAUCCCGGGUUUCUUGGGCACCCAUGGCCUGCAAUGUAGCGGCCCACAAAUUCAGCACUGUGGCCCCAGUGGGACUCAGAGUCUGGGGGGGACGGGGGGCAGUGCCCCUUCUUGUUUACUAAUGUCCUUACUUGCCAGAUCAAAAAGGCUGGCCUCUGCAGAGUUGGACCCUGAUAUUCUUUGCUUUCCUUCUUUUUAGUCUUUAAAAAACAAACAAACAAAAAACCAGAUCAGAACUCUUUAUAUAUAUAUAUUUUUAAAUAUUUAUUUGAGAGAGAGAAUGAGAUAGAGAGCAUGAGAGGGGGGAGGGUCAGAGGGAGAAGCAAACUCCCCGCCGAGCAGGGAGCCCGAUGCGGGACUCGAUCCCGGGACUCCAGGAUCAUGACCUGAGCCGAAGGCAGUCGCUCAACCAACUGAGCCACCCAGGCUCCCAGAACUCUUGAUAUUUUUAUUGUGUAAGAUACACAUAAGUCACCACCGUAACCAUCUCUAAGCGCACAGCUCAGCGGCAUGAAGCACCCUCACACGGUCCUGCAGCCACCCCCACCCUCCGUCUCCAGAAAGUUCCAUCUCCCCACACGGAGACUCUGUCCCUGUGAAGCACAGACUCCCCACCCCCUGCCCCAGCCCCAGCUCCCACCCUCUCCUCUCUGUCUCUGUGGACGGGACCCCUCUGGGGACCUCCUGGGAGUGGGGUCCUGCGGGAUGUGUCCUUCUGGGUCUGGCUCCUCUCACUGAGCCCAGUGUCCUCGGGGUCCCUGCACGUCGUGGCAGGUGUCAGGGUCCCUUCCUUUCUAAGGCUGGAGUGUGUUCUCACGCGUGGAUGGACUGCACCGUGUGUAUCCUUCAUCCAUGGAUGGACACCUUUAGGUUGCUUGCACCUUUUGGCAACUACGAACAUGGUAUGCAAACACCAACAUAAUUUUAGGAAUUAAACUUCGCUCUGGAUUCUCUGACUUAGGCCUCAGCAGCCCUGUUGGCGAUUUGGAGCUGGACCUGAUGAGUCUGAUGGAAGGGCUCUCCACAAGGCUUCCAGGAAAUUCUCCUGAGGUUGUGCGCAUCUGCCAGCCCGGAGCUAGAGCGCCCCGUGCAGUGUGCCGGAUGGCAGGCAGAGGCUCAGCUGCGACCAAGAGCUGGUCUGACAUCCCCCUCUCAGGUGUGCCGUUCAGAGGCCUCGAAUACUCACCCUGGGGAGCGGCCACACUCACCACCCGUCUCCAGAACUUUCUCAUCUUCCCAGACUGGACCUCGGUCCCCAUGCAGCCAGCUGGCCUUUGAGAGCAUGCACAGAAUCUUUACGGCCCCUCCAGGAAACCUGGUGUUCAUUCGGGUGUUUUUUCGUGGUCUACCUCGAAUCCAGACGUAGCUCUGUUCAGCCAGACGUGGCUCCCGAACGGUUGAUAAGCUCGCCUUCAGCACCUCGGCAUCUUCACUCGAGUCAAGGUGUUUAGUGGGCGCCGCUCUGCAGGACCGUAUCCUGAGCCCCGAGGAUUAGGCAGUGAGCGGCCAGGACCGUUUGCUGGAAACUGCUGGCCGUGACCCAAUCGUCUUCUAGGUUCCCACAGGCCUCCUUCUCUGCCCCCUUUGCUGGACUCCAGCAUUGGGGUGCCCGGGGAUGCCCUCUCUGUCCACGCUCCCUUGGGGGAUGCCAUGCAGCCGUCGAGUUGGGGAAGACCAACCCCUCCACCCCCAGUGCCAAGCCCACCCUCUCUCCGACACUCCUGAUUCAUCUGUCCACUGCCUCUCGACAUCUAAUGGACACAUCUCCAUUGUGAAGAAAAAAAUGGAGUCAUGGCUCACGCCUCACGCUCGCUGUCUUCCCAAACCAAUGUGUUGUGGCCCCCAGAAGCCCUUUGGGUUCUUUGCUUCCCAUCCCCCCGACAUCUGACGCAGCAUCCAAUCUUCUCGACUUGACAUUCAAAGUAGAUCCAUUCUUCAUUCUGCUACCGCUGUCUCUGUCUGUGCUCCCCGGAUGCGCACCCCAGGUCCCCAGCGGGCCGCUCACGCCCUGCCGGGUGUUCUCACUCAGCCAUGGGUGUGACAGAGGGAGCAUAAAGGUGGGCAGUCAUCUGCUUAAAGUAAUGCUAACAUCUUCCCCUCACGCUGUUUUGGGGGCACCUUUCCAUUUUUUAAUUCUAAUUUUUUGGGAGAAAAAAAUUUGAUCUUAUUCCUAAACAACCACACUUAUAUACUAAUGGGACGUGCCAUCCACUGGGACAUUGGAACCAGAUAGAACAUGGCCACCCUCAUAUCCUCCUUCAGGUCGACUUAUUUUUCUUUUUACUUUUUUUUUUUUUUUUAAGAUUUUAUUUAUUUAUUUGAGAGAGAGAAUGAGAGACAGCACGAGAGGGAAGCGGGUCAGAGGGAGAAGCAGACCCCCCGCCGAGCAGGGAUCCCGAUGCGGGACUCGAUCCCGGGACUCCAGGAUCAUGACCUGAGCCGAAGGCAGUCGCUUAACCAACUGAGCCACCCAGGCGCCCCUCUUUUUACUUUUUUAUUGUGAUAAAAUAUAUAUGGCAGAAAAUUGACCAUUUCAACCAUUUUCACCUGUAUAAGUCAAUGGCAUGAAGCACACUCACACUGUCCUGCAGCCCACCCCCACCCUCCAUCUCCAGAACUUUCCAUCUUCCUAAACACGGACUCCCCACCCCUUGGCCCAGCCCUGGCUCCCACCUUCUCCUCUCUGUCUCUGUGGACGGGACCCCUCUGGGGACCUCCUGGGAGUGGGGUCCUGCGGGAUGUGUCCUUCUGGGUCUGGCUUCUCUCACUGAGCCCAGUGUCCUCAGGGUCCCUCCACGUCAUGGCAGGUGUCAGAUGUCCUUCCUUUUUCAGGCCAAGUAAUAUUCCAGCAUAUGAAUGAGCCGCAUCUUGUUUAUCCAUUCCUUUGUUGAUGGACAUUUGGGUCGUGUCUACAUUUCAGCUGUUGUGAAAAAUGCUGCUGUGAAUAUGGGUGUUGCUUUGCUUUUUAAAAAUUUAUGUCAUCCACGUACCAAAACAUUCACUCUUUAAAGUGUAUGAUUCAGUGGUUUUCAGUGUACUCAAAAGUUGUACAACCAUCACCACAAUCUAAUCUUGGAACAUUUUUAUCACUUCUAAAGGAAACGUGUCCCCAUUAGCAAUCACCCCACCACACAUACCCCCGAGAGCCCCCUUCCCGUCCGUGGAUGAGCCUGCUCUGGACGUGUCACCCACGUGGCCUCACACGCUGCGUGGCCUUCUGUGUCUGGGUCCCCCCCCGAGUGUCGUGGGCUCGGGGUCCGUCCCCAGGGCAGCACGUGUGGGUGCCUCGCUCCUGUUUGGGGCUGAUAUCCAGUGCGUGGACGGAUGCGUUGUGUGCAUUCAUCUAUCAGGUGAUGGACAUUUGGACUGUUUUUAGUUUGGGGCUGUUAUGAAUAAUGGUGCUAUGGAUGUGCACCUCCAUGUUUCGAUGUGGACCAGAUGUCAUUUGUCUUGGGUGCACACACCUUGCCAGGUGAGAUGGUCACUCUGUUUAACUUUGGGAAGAAGUGCCGGCCUAUCCCCCAUGGCAGUGGCAUCAUCGUGCUUUCCCACUAGUGGGACAGGAGGGCUCCAGUCUCUCCCCAUCCUCACCAACACUUGCUAUUGUCUGCCUUUUUAAUGCAGCCCAUACCAGUGGGGGUGAGGUGGUGUCUCAUCGUGGUUUUGAUUUGCAUUUCCCUAAUGACUAAUGAUGUUGCGCAACUUUUUUUAAAGGUAUCUUUUUUUUUUUUUUGGUAUAUCUUUUUUGGAGAGAUGUCCAUUAAAAUCCUU
Mirounga angustirostris (Northern elephant seal) is the source of this 5295-nucleotide long non-coding RNA. RefSeq lists it as uncharacterized. The transcript has 3 exons. The record is from RefSeq and is a predicted model, not a curated record. Lineage: Eukaryota; Metazoa; Chordata; Mammalia; Carnivora; Phocidae.